RNA transcript from Cucurbita moschata (crookneck pumpkin), 1797 nucleotides. It is a transcript of the gene named probable pyruvate, phosphate dikinase regulatory protein, chloroplastic, with no coding region annotated. The transcript is spliced from 4 exons. NCBI's taxonomy places the organism in Eukaryota, Viridiplantae, Streptophyta, Magnoliopsida, Cucurbitales, Cucurbitaceae. The record is from RefSeq and is a predicted model, not a curated record.
GAGUGAAGAUAUUUUUGUGACGAACAAAGAUUGGAAGAUAUUUUGAAAUUGUGAACUGAUCGACCGUUUUCAUACUGUGAGGAACAUUUACAGAACCUCCAGAAAUUUCUUUCCAUCAUCGUCUUCACUGAAUCUCUGCUGAGUUAUCGAUGAUUUGAAUUUCCCAUUACUGGAAUGGCUUCUUCCACCUUCAGCUGGUCCAUCACCCCUCACACGCCCAGUUACCCAACUCCCAAACCUAGAAACCAACCUCCCUUCUCCAAUUCUAUCAUCAACAACCAAUCAUCCUCCGAAUCCGGGCCACAGGUUCGCAAACCCAAGGGCAGCCCCCAAUUGAAUCGCUGGUCUAGGGCUCGCGCUUUACGAUCGGGGCACAAAUUGGAGCGCCACAGCAAUCGGACUGCUCAGGCUGUCGAGCUGCGUUCUCCCGAUUCGCCCACUGACAGAGCCCCACUGGAACCUGCUCUUAAAGGAAGAGAUGGCGACGAUGAUGUGGAGAGAAUAGUUGGGAAGUCCAUUUAUAUGGUGUCUGAUGGCACUGGAUGGACGGUGGAGCACUCCGUCACCGCUGCCUUGGGUCAGUUCACUCACUGUUUGGUCGAUCGUGUUUGCCCUGUUAGCACCCAUUUGUUCUCUGGGGUUGAUGAUGUAGAGCGAUUACGGGAGAUAGUAAAACAAGCAGCCAAAGAGGGCGCUAUGCUUGUUUAUACUUUAGCUGAUCCAUUCAUGGCUGAAUCUGCAAAGCAAGCUUGCAAAUUGUGGGGCAUUCAAUCCAAUGACAUACUGGGGCCAUUAACAGAAGUUGUUGCAUCGCAUCUCGGUGUCUCACCGUCCGGUCUUCCUCGUGGGGCUUUCGGCAAUAAUCUCCCGCUUACCGAUGAGUACUUUCGUCGGAUUGAAGCUAUUGAGUUUACAAUCAAACAAGACGAUGGUGCAUUGCCACAAAACUUGAACAAAGCUGACAUUGUUCUUGCUGGUGUAUCUCGAACAGGGAAGACGCCAUUGUCCAUUUAUCUUGCACAAAAGGGAUAUAAAGUGGCUAAUGUGCCGAUUGUAAUGGGGAUUAAACUCCCAAAGAACCUGUUCGAAGCAGACCCUGAAAAGGUGUUUGGUUUGACUAUAAAUCCGAUUGUGUUGCAAACAAUAAGAAGAGCAAGAGCCAAGAGUUUGGGAUUUUGUGAUGAAAUGAGAAGUACCUAUUCAGAAAUGGAUUUUGUUAGAAGGGAACUGGAUUUUGCUGGAAAGAUCUUUGCUCAAAACCCCACAUGGCCUGUGAUAGAGGUGACAGGGAAGGCCAUAGAAGAAACUGCCGCUGUCAUAUUGAGGCUUUACCACGAUAGAAAGCACAAGUGUUCGAUGCCAAGGAUAUCAAAGCGCUACUAGAGACAUUAAAGCUAUAAGCCAUGAAGGCACGAUGGUAUCAGUGCUCAAUAAGAUGUCGCUCAAUCUUGGACAGAACUUACACAGUGGCAAACAAGAGAAGAACUUUCUUGGGGUCCAAAAACCACGAAGAUGAAGGCCUCCUGAAGCUGUUUCUUCUAAGAAAGCCUCGUUCAACCGGCGCCGCCGCCGUGUUCGCUGUGGUUAUAGUGAUCUGAUGAUGAACUUGUGCCACUCCCAAAUGAUCUUGCUGUGACCCCACUGCCACUGCCACUGCCACCGCCGCCCCUGCUUUUUCCGCCAUGGUAGCUCCAACUGCAACUGAAAAUUGCACAAUUCAGGGGACCCACAAUUUUCCAAAAUUCAAACUCUGUUUUCCCCUGUUUUUCAAAUGAACUGCUCAAACAAGUUGAAAUA